UUUCUUUAUAGGGAUGAUGCCACGAUAUUAUUGAUCGUGCUCCUCCACCAUAGAAACAAUUUUGAUUUGAGGUCGGUCUAAAAAUAGUUAUGUUUUGAAAAAUGAUUUAAAAUAUUUAGUUCACACGUAGGCACAUAAACAAUUACAUAUAAAUGCACAUAAUUCUUUUUGAAAUUCAUGGGAAGUGGUACUUCCGGGGACGCAUCGGUUUUAAAAAAUUGGAACUAGACCUCGUAGUUCCUUUGACUUUCCCACUAACGAUAGGUUAGGAGAUAGUACUUUAUAAUUUAUUUCAAAAUAAAGUAGAGUCAUAAUCAAUCCAAAAUUUAAAGAAAGAUUGAAUAAUGACUUUUUUAAAAAAUUUAUGUUACAAGGUUUUGAAAUGUUUUUUAAAGCCAAGUUAAAUGCAUGAAAUGAUUCUAAGUUAGUAUUAAGAAAAAAAAAUAUUGCAUCACGAAUGUGGAAAACAAAUGGGAUUACUAGUUAAAUAAUAUUAAUUAAUUUUAGGGGAGGACUCAAAUAUGCACAAACAAAUUUUAUUCUCUUAUUUACAAACCUAUAGACAUGAUUUCUAGGUGUUCAAAAAAGUAACAUAUAUAUGCAUGAUUUCGUAAAUGGUAUGAACAAAUUAAACCUUAGACAUGGUUUCUACAUGAUAAGACAAAUGAGAAUUUAUAAUAUUUUAACAUCUAACAACCUACUAGAUUUAUUAGGAUUUGAUUUUAACAUUUAAAAAUUAAUGGAUUCUAGUUCUUAUUUUUUAAGGCUUGUUAACAAAAACGUCAAGCAAAUUGAAAAUUGAUUAGAUUAUAACACCUACAAAUAUCAAAUCUAGGUGGUUAAAGACAAACCUAUAGGCAUGAUUUCUAAAAAAAAAAUAAUGAGCAAGUAAGCAUAUAAAUCCCCCUCCCCUAGACGACCCCCAAAUAACUUUAUUAUAUGAUCUUUAGGGUUACAAUUGUUACAUCAUUCAAAUAAAUAAAAUAGCGGAAAAAAUAAAAAAAUAUAUAUAUAUAUAUACAUUCAAACAAAUAAACAAAUCCUUCUUCAGUUAAUAUUCAACUUGAACUUCAAAUAUGAAACCUGUCAAAGUAAUUAAAUAACUACACAAGUAAUCACACUUGUUAGUUAAGGUGAGACAAUAUGCAAUCGUUUAAUGACGAAUUCUAUAUAAAAAACAGACAAUGGUUUACACAAAUAUGUGAAUAUGAAAAUAGUAUGAAUGUUAAGAAUACUAACCUGUUAAACAAAACAAGAUGAUUCACCUUUUACUCGAAAAAAGUAGGAAAAUAGCGAAGAAAAACACUUGAAUAUUCACCGAAAUAUUAAUGUUGUUUAAAGUAGCAAGAGAGCAAUGAGAGGAGGGAGAGUGAUGAGAGAAUUUUUUGGUUGAGAGUGAAUGGGUGUCUGAAUGAAUAAAAGGAGUCUCUUUAUAUAGUAGAGGAGGGGGAAACAAAUAAGGGAAAUAAAUAUUUAAAGAAAUCAAUUAUAAUACAAUUUUCCUUAUUUUAAAGGAUAUCCAAAUCAGAAAAUAUGUUAAUAUAUUUCAUUACCAAAUAUAAACAAGUAAGGAUAAAUUAGUAAAUUUAAAAAUAAGAAAAUCAAUUAAACUUAUUCUUAUUUUAAGAGCCAAAUCAGAUUAUAAGAAAAAAAAAUUACUAAACUUAAGCAAGAAAGAAUUAGGAAGAGCAAUAUAUUUUCCUUAAAUAUAUUCUGAUUUUUUCUUAUUUUUACCAAAUAUGUGAGCAAGAUAAUUAAGCACAUCACAAGAAAUACACCCAACUUAUUUAUUUAAUCUUUUAUCAAAGAGAUCAAAAUAAUAUACGCCAAUUUUCAAAUUUAUUAUUAUAUUUUUUUUUAAAGACAAUCAACUAAAAGUCAUUACUACACUAAAUUACUUGAUAUUAACAAUAGGUGAAAACAAUUAUAUUUAGGGAGAAGAUAAUCAUGCUUUUUGGAGACUACAAAAUAGCAAUGCAAGCAGAUCACCAUAUCCAUAAAUAUGAAAAUUUACCACAUCACUUAUUUUAUAAUCAAUUAAUUGCUAUGAGUAAUUUUCUCAAAUCAAGCAUUUCAAACACCAGAUUAUGACAUAGAUAUGCUAAUUAUCUCAAAAAUUAAAAAAAAACGAUCAUGCACAAAUAAACUGUAUUAAGCAAACGGUAAUUAGUGAGCUUGUACUUAGAAUACUAUUAAAUCUUGACAAAUUGAUCUAAUCAUAUAAUAAAAUGAUAAUGAUUAAGCUCAUGAACAAAUAGACACCAAUUCAGGAUGGGGCAAAAUAUAUUCAAACUAAACAUUGAUAUCUUAACAAUUCUUCAAACUCAAAAACAAAGACAUCACUUUUUUUUUUAGAUAUUUAUGCAAACAAACUCAAAACCAACAAUUUCGUAAUUUAAACUAAGAAGUUUGAACUAGAAAGCUUACUUAGACGGAUCUGUUGAAGAUCCGUCUUUGACCAACUCGAAUUUCCCAAGGACUUCAUCGGAGUUGUUGUCGUUGCCGGUGGAGCCUGCUGCUGCAAUGCCUCGCUAGGCUGCUGGUUUCGCUGGACAAAGCUGCUGUUCGCCGGUCACUGAUGUCCGCUGCUGCUGCGUGGUGGCUGUCGCCGCUUCUCCUCGCCUGGCUGCUGCUACCUGCAAAGAGGAGAGGAACGGGAAGAGGAGAGACGGGAGGGGAAGAGAGGGAAGAGGAGAGAAAGAGGGAGAAGGGGGACGAAGAGAGAAAGAGGGAGAAGGGGACGAAGGGAGAGGGGAGGAGCGAUGGGAGAAAGGGAGAGGGACAGCUGUCGGAGUUCUGCUGCUGCUGCUCCUGGUUUCGCCGACGGUCGCUGCUGCUGGAGAAGCCGUUACUGCUAGGAGAAAAAGAGAAGAAGAGGGGAUGGGGCGAGAGAGAAGAAGGGGGCGUCGCUGGAGAGAGAGAGAAGGGAGAGGGCGGCUGGUCGGAAAAAGGGAGAGAGGGAGGAGGUUCGACGGGAGAGGGAAGGAAGAGUGGGGGUGGCGGCUUGGAGAAGGGGGGGAAGAGAAAAAUGAAUUGAAAUUUUUUAGGUUUUAGGGUCUUUUUUGUGUUGAAGAAAGAGAAAGGGAGACUUAAUCACAACCGUUGGUUUAGAUAGAGAUGAAGGGUUAGGAUUCGAUCUAGGAUUUAUUUUUUAAGAUGGACGGAUGAGAUCAAAAGAUCAAGUCUUGAAAUUAGAUUAACAAAGAUAUAGAGUGGCUAAAAUUGGAAUAACAAUUGGCCAGAAUUGAAAGGAAGAGAUGGCUACGAUUGUAAUAAAAUUUUAAUUGGAGGGGCUAGAAUUGAAAGAAAUUAGAAUAAAAUAGGCUAGAACUUGAAUAAUUUCUAAAAUAUUUUGUAUAAUUGAAAAUCAUUUAAAUUUUAAAACAUUUGAAAUUCAUUAAUAAUUUUAAACAUAUAAUAAUAUUUACAAUAGUUUUAUAAAGUAAAUGAUACUAUAUAAUUUUGAGAAAAGAACGACUAAAACUUUAAAAUUUUAAGUAAAUUUUAAAAUACGUAUUUAGUCGAAUAUAAUCCUAAAACGGUUAAAGGUCGGUCAAAAUUGGGUGUCAACAGCUGCCCCUUGGUUGAUUGAGAAUGAAGAAUGAAUUGUCAAGCAACCAACGUUGACUUAGUAGCCGAUUUUGUCCGACCGACGAGAGAUGUCAAUUGGAUCAAUUGAAAUGAUAUAGAAUUGAAAAAGGGUACGACCGAGACUUUGGUUGUAAGUCGCCUACAUAUCUCUGGUUAUACGAGAAUCAGGUCGUGUGUAGUUCUAGAUUCAAGAGCAAAUGAAACUCUUAAAAAUUGAAAGAGCGGUAAGGUAUUAGGAAGGCACGAUAUCGGCUUGAAUAGAUAAGAUUAGAGUAACGAGAAGAGAGAGAUUGAGAGACUAAGAGAGUGUGACAGAGAAGCGAGAAGAGCAUGAUAGAGUGAGGCUAUCAGCCUUUGAGCGAAGCUCGGGGUUUGAAGAAUUGAUAGAGUCUUUGUUGUGAUAGAGGAUAGCAUGAUAAUUGUAAUCAAAGGCGAUCGAUCAUAUCUGCAAAUUCCUGUUUGAGACGUAGUGCAAGCCUUUAUAGUCUUCAACUUCUCGAAGGAUUGAACCCAUCUCUGAAGAAUGACGUCAAACUCCAAUAGAUUUGAUACUAUAAAGAUAUAACAGUAUAGACGAAAAUAUCUAGUUAUAAGGAAAGUCUAAACGUCAUUUUAAGGCAGACGAGCCUAAGUGUCGUUUUAAGGCGGACAACCUAAAUAUCUUAUAAAGCGGACGAACAUAAAUGUAUUAUGAGGCGGACAAGCCUAGAUGUCCUUUUUAAGGUGGACGACCUAAAUGUCCUAUAAGAUGGACUAACCUAAAUGUCGUUUUAAUGCGGACGAGCCUAAAUGUCGCAUUGUAAGGUGGACGAGCCUAGAUGUCACAUUGUAAGGCGGACGAGCCUAGAUGUCACAUUGUAAGGCGGACGAGCCUAGAUGUCGCAUUGUAAGGCGGACGAGCCUAGAUGUCGCAUUGUAAGGCGGACGAGCCUAGAUGUCACAUUGUAAGGCGGACGAGCCUAGAUGUCGCAUUGUAAGGCGGACGAGCCUAGAUGUCGCAUUGUAAGGCGGACGAGCCUAGCUGAAGACAUAGAAAGUCACAGUGGCGAGUUGAAUCCGAAGAUAUCUUCAUGGUAGCCUGAAUGAUAGCGAAACAAUAGUUCGAGUAGCCAAGAAUUUGUUGUAGCCUUUGUGUGUAAGCAAAGGAACAACCGUUCAGAAGGCGACUUUGUCUGUAAUCUGCAUAACUGUAACUUGUAGUAGAGUAAUUAGAGCAAAAUAAGCGGUAAAUGUAAACAUGAUGCAAUUUCCCAUAUAGACCAUGAAUGUUUGCCUUAAGACCAUGCAAGAUGAUGUCUUAGGCUAUGGUGUCUAGGGCCAUGAUACGUGAAAUGUAUCCUCAGGUCAUGAAAUGUUGUCUGCAGGCCAUGAAGAUGACGCCUUUAGACUAUGACACCUUCGGAUUAUGAUAGGAAGAAAUUAAACCCUUAGGCCAUGAUAUGAUGUCCGCAGGCCAUGAGGAUGAUGCCUUUAGACUAUGACGCCUUAGGAACAUGAUAUGCAUAAAAUAAGUCCUCAGGCCAUGACAUGAAGUCCGCAGGCUAUGAAAGAUGAUGCCUUUGGAGGAUGACGCCUUUGGGAUAUUAGUAAUGAGUAAAGAGAGCGUAUCUGUUUUUGACAUCUGUUGAUACUUAUGACUUGAUUUGAUUCGGGCACAUGUAAACUUCAAGCACGAUGCAAUCUUGAGCUUAUGCAAACUUCGGGCACAAUGAAGUCUCGGGCACAAUGCGAUAAUGCAUUUCUUCGGGCACAUGCAAUAUCGAGCAUAAUGCAAUGAUGCACUUCUUCAAGCACAAUAUAAUAUCGGGCACAUGCAGUAUCGAGCAUAUGUAAUGGUGCAUUUCUUCGAGCACAUAAAAUAUCGAGAGCAUGCAAUAAUGUGAUUCUUCGAUCAUAAGUCAAUAUUGGGCAUAUGCGAUGAUGUAUUUCCUCGGGCACAUGACAUAUCGAGCCCAUGCAAUAAUGUGUUUGUCCGGGCACAUAGAAUAUCGAGCGCAUGCAAUAAUGCAAUUCUUCGAGCAUAAGUCAAUAUUGGGCAUAUGCGAUGAUGUAUUUCCUCGGGCACAUGAAAUAUCGAGCACAUGCAAUAAUGUAUUUCUUCGGGCACAUAAAAUAUCGAGCGCAUGCGAUAAUGCAAUUCUUCGAGCAUAAGUCAAUAUUGGGCAUAUGCGAUGAUGUAUUUCCUCGGGCACAUGAAAUAUCGAGCACAUGCAAUAAUGUGUUUCUUCGGGCACAUAAAAUAUCGAGCGCAUGCAAUAAUGCAUUUUGGCAUUCUCGUGCAUAACAUAAUGAUGUAGUUCUUUGAGCAUAGUGUGAUAUCAGGCAUAGUAUCGAGCAUAGUAGCUUGGGCGUUCGCCUUAUUGGAAGGACCGAGUGUCAUGUUUCGGCUCAAAUGUGGUGAUGUUGAUUGUUGCAGUUGCCUUCGUAUAUGUACCUGUAUUUUCUACAUUCAAAGAGAAAUAGUUAGUUUAAAGGGGGGAAGGUUGAUCUGUAUCCAUGAUUUGACGCAGCGUGCUCCUUUGACUUGCCAUCCACACCUCUUCGAGCGUCUGUUUUUUUUUCAUAAAAAGGGGGAAAGGAGAGAAAAAAAAUAAAAAAAAUAAAAAAAAAUAAAAACAAAAACUUUGAAAGAUUUUUAAUAAAAGCCGAUGUCGAAUCUUUGACCAUGGCGUAGGUUGAGAAUUUACAACGUCUGACUCAAAAGUGGAGCUAUCAUUUAAUCUUUGUUGUAAGCUGACUGCUUGUUGAGAAGAAACUUUCGGUGAAAUUUUGAGUUUACUCAAAAUUUCUGCCCCAGUAUGAAGAUGUGCCAGGAGGAAUCUUAAUGGAAUUUUUGAGAUCCUCUCAAAAAUUCUGCCCCAGUUAUCAAUAGAAAAGGGGGAAAUGAAAGUUUUAUUUAUAAUAAGACCGAACCCCAUAGGAGCGCCUACGUAUCCCCUCUUAAAUGGGAAUCAGGUCUGACGUAGUUCCAAAUUACAAAAGAGCAUGAAUCAAUCUCUAGAUGUAAUACUUUUUCACAGAAUCUGAAUUGAUAGGUUUUGGCCAAACUUCUCCAUCCAUUUCUGCAAGUAUGAGGGCUCCGCCUGUCAGUACUCGAGAGACUAUGUAUGGACCUUGCCAAUUUGGUGAAAAUUUACCCUUUGCCUCGUCUUGAUUUGGAAAAAUCCGCUUCAAAACCAGUUGCCCAGGUGAGAAAUGUCUGGGUUUAACCUUCUUGUUGAAAGCUCUGGCCAUUCUAUUCUGAUAGAGCUGACCAUGACAAAUGGCGUUAAUUCUUCUUCCAUCUAUUAAUGCCAAAUUCUCUGCCCGACCUCGUAUCCAAUCAGCAUCACUCAACUUUGCUUCUUGGAUGAUCCUUAGGGAAGGUAUCUCAACUUCGGCGGGUAUCACAGCUUCGGUGUCGUAUACUAAGAAGUAAGGUGUGGCCCCUGUGGAAGUUCUGAUUGUGGUACGAUACCCCAGCAAUGCGAAAGGUAGCUUUUCCUGCCAGUGUUUGUGAUUAUCGAUCAUCUUGCGCAAUAUCCUUUUGAUGUUUUUGUUUGCCGCCUCAACAGCCCCAUUCAUCUGUGGCCUGUAUGCUGUAGAGUUUCGAUGACUGAUCUUGAACUUCUCACACAUUGAUCUCAUCAGGUCACUGUUUAGGUUGGUGCCGUUAUCGGUGAUGAUUGACUCAGGAAUUCCAAACCUACAAAUAAUGUUGUUUUUGACAAAGUCAUCCACAACUUUCUUUGUCACUGAUUUAUGGGAGGUGGCCUCAACCCACUUGGUGAAAUAGUCAAUUGCAACAAGAAUGAAUCUGUGCCCGUUGGAUGCUGUUGGCUCGAUUGGACCAAUGACAUCCAUGCCCCAUGCUGCGAACGGCCAAGGUGAACUAGUGACAUGGAGUUCGUUGGGAGGUACUCGAAUCAUAUCUGCGUGAGUCUGACAUUGAUGGCAUUUCUGGACGUAGCGAAUGCAGUCUGUCUCCAUAGUUAGCCAAUAAUAUCCUGAUCUCAGAAUCUUCUUUGCUAAUGUAAAACCGUUCAUGUGAGGGCCACAGGUGCCUGCAUGUAUCUCUUCGACCAGCCUGCGAGCCUCUCUUGCUUCGACGCAUCUUAGCAGUCCCAAAUCGGGAGUUCUCCUAUAGAGUAUUUCCCCACUUAAGAAGAAUUGGGUUGCUAACCUUCGAAUUGUACGCUUUUGUACACUUGUUGCAUCUUCUGUGUAUUCACCACUCUUCAAAUAUCUUCUAAUGUCAUCAUACCAGGGCUUUCCAUCAGGCUCUUCCUCAACAUGGAAACAAUAAGCUGGUUGUUCAUGUAUAUGAAUGUGAAUAGGAUCGAUGUAAUUGUGAUCAGGGUGUCGAAUCAUAGAAGACAGAGUGGCUAAGGCGUCUGCAAAUUCAUUUUGGACCCUUGGUACAUGUCUAAAUUCUGUUUUGACAAACCUUUUACAUAGCCUGUGCACGCACUCCAAAUAUGGUAACAACUUUCGAUUUUUUGUUGCCCAAUCACCUCGAACCUGAUGGAUCAAUAGGUCUGAAUCCUAUUAUUAUCAUUUCCUGGACAUCCAAGUCGAUCGCCCGUCGGAGACCUAGUAUGCAGGCUUCGUAUUCGGCCAUAUUAUUUGAGCAAAGGAAUCUGAGUUUUGCUGAUACUGGAUAAUGUUGCCCGGUGGGUGAGAUCAAAACAGCCCCAAUGCCGCAUCCAUUCAGAUUUUUAGCUCCAUCAAAAAACAUUCUCCAUCCAUCAUAUUCUUCAGAAAUGUCCUCUCCCACAAACGCCACCUCUUCAUCUGGGAAGUAGGUCUUCAGCGGUCUGUAAUCAUCGUCCACGGGAUUCUCUGCCAUAUGGUCUGCUAAUGCCUGUGCUUUCACUGCUUUUUGCGUGACAUACACUAUGUCAAACUCACUCAACAGUAUCUGCCAUUUUGCCAGUUUACCUGUGGGCAUAGGCUUUUGAAAGAUAUACUUCAAAGGAUCCAUCCUUGAAAUCAGAUAAGUGGUAUGCGAUGAGAGGUAAUGUCGUAACUUUUGGGCAACCCAUGUUAGAGCACAACAGGUACGCUCUAAUAGAGAGUAUCGGGCUUCGCACGAUGUGAACUUCUUGCUCAUAUAAUAUAUUGCUUGCUCCUUCCUCCCUGUUUCAUCGUGUUGUCCCAAGAUGCAACUGAAAGCAUUAUCCAAUACUGAAAUAUACAAAAGUAAUGGUCUACCUGACUCUGGUGGCACCAAUACAGGAGGAUUGGAUAGAUAGUCUUUGAUCUUGUCAAAUGCCUGUUGACAUUCACUUGUCCAUUUCACUGCAGCAUCCUUUUUUAACAGCUUGAAGAUAGGUUCACAGAUGACAGUAGACUGAGCAAUGAAACGACUGAUGUAGUUAAGUCGCCCUAAGAAACUCAUUACCUCCUUCUUGCUCUUUGGUGGGGGAAGAUCACGAAUGGCUUUGAUCUUUGACGGGUCCAAUUCUAUACCUCGACGACUGACAAUGAAACCUAAAAGCUUUCCAGCAGGCACACCGAAGACACAUUUUGCCGGAUUCAGUUUCAGAUUGUACUUGCGUAGCCUGGCAAAGAAUUUCCGUAAAUCCUCCAAAUGAUUUAAACUUUCCUUUGAUUUGAUGAUGACAUCAUCCACAUAAACUUCAAUUUCCUUAUGGAUCAUGUCGUGAAACAAAGUAGUCAUCGCUCUCAUGUACGUAGCUCCAGCGUUCUUUAGUCCAAAAGGCAUCACCUUGUAGUUAUAGACGCCCCACGGCGUGAUGAAAGCGGUUUUCUCAGCGUCGUCUUUGUGCAUCUCAAUUUGAUGAUAGCCGGCAAAGCAAUCCACAAAUGACUGAGUUUCGUGCUUAGCACAAUUAUCAAUCAGUAUGUGUAUGUUUGGUAAUGGAAAGUUAUCUUUAGGGCUAGCUUUAUUGAGAUCUCGGUAAUCCACGCAAACUCUGACCUUGCCGUCUUUCUUGGGCACUGGAACGACAUUUGCAAGCCAAGUUGGGUAUUCUGUCACUUGGAGUAUCCCAACAUCUAAUUGCUUUGAUACUUCUUCUUUGAUUUUCAAACUCAUCUCGGGCUUGUAUUUUCUCAGCUUCUGUUUUACCGGAGGACAUGCUGGAUCAGUGGGUAGUCGAUGGGCUACGAUUGCAGUACUUAGCCCUGUCAUGUCUGCGUAGGACCACGCGAAAAUAUCCUUAUUCUCUAUGAGAAACUCGGUAUACUCUUUCUUGUCUUCUUUUGUCAUAUGGAUGCUUACUCGGGUUUCUUGUAUCACCUCUGCAUUUCCCAAAUUCACCACUUCUGUCUCUACCAAAUUUGGAUUGGGUUUUUCCUCGAAUUCCUCAACCCUUUUGAUUAACUCCUCGGGAACCUCAUUGUCUUCGACUUCUUCUAAGUCAUUAAGGUUAAGCUGAGCAGUCUCAUUGUAUGCCACAAUCUCAGAUUCGACAUUUUUAUAAUGAAUUUUGCUGGUGAGAAAAAAAAUAGUAAAAAUUAAAUACAAGACAAAAAAAUGGGGAAAAGAACUUUAUUGAUAAAGAUUUGAAAAUUUCAUAAGUCCUCAUUUGAAAGCAAUACAUGGGACGGGAAUUAAAACGUUUAUUAAAAACUCCUUUAUUUGAAUUAAAACUUGAUAGAAAAACAUCUUCCAAGGCUACCCAGAUGCUCGACGAGGUCUGGAUGGAGUCGAGGUCCAGUUGCUGACGCUGAUCUUUGCCUCCUUGCUUCCACUAGGGCCCCCUUUCUCCUCCUCGUUGAUCACGACGUUGCAAACUUUCCCUUCUUCUUUGGUUAGCGAUAACCCCUUCAAGUCGUCUGAGAUCUCAUCAAUAUUGUCUCCCAUGAAACCUGCUGAUCGAAAUGAUUGAUACAAUGGCGGUAUGGGUUUCUUCAAUGGAUAGUAGUACCCAUCUCUAGGUGGUCGCCAAUCGAGCCAUUCUUCGGUGGUGUAUUUAUAACCCAAACCAAAAGUGGUGGAAUGUCGAACAGGCUGUAUAGGUUCGACUAUCCCUUGUAAUUUAGCCCCCAAACCUUUCCCAAGCUCGAAACCGAACCAGGCCAUCAUAUCUAUGAUUUUUUGGCUGAACCAAGGUUGCAACUCAAUAUUACCAACAAGCUCCACUGUAUGGUACAUUUCGCCAUCCAUAUUCUCUCUUCCUUCAAUCGUGUAUACAGGAUGCCCUUUUUCCCCAUGGACCACAACCUCUUCGUAAUCCCAUUCAAACUUCAGGCAUUGGUGAAGAGUAGAUGGAACCGCUCCAGCCAUAUGAAUCCAUGGACGACCCAAUAAUAAGUUGUACGAUGAAGGGAUGUCCAAAAUUUGGAAAGCUAUGGGGAAAGUGACAGGACCAAUGAGCAUGUCCAAGGUUAUCUCCCCAAUAGUGCCUCUCUGAGAGCCGUCAAAUGCCCUCACAUUCAUCUUCCAUGUCUGAAUUUUUGCACUAUCCACACCCAGCCUCGUCAGUGUGCUCAGAGGGCAAAUGUUUAAACCUGAACCUGCAUCAACUAAUGCUUUGUUUAUCACCUUAUCCUGAUACUGAACCGAAAUGUACAAAGCUUUAUUGUGAGUUGUUCCUUCGAUUGGCAGUUCAUCUUUGUGAAAAGAUAUUUUGUAAGCCUCAAAGACCUGCCCCACCAUUUGGGAUACCUCUCCAUGAGUGAUGUUAGACGGGACAUAAGCUUCACCAAGGAUCUUCAGAAGGGCAUCUCGAUGAGUUUCGGAAGAUUGUAGUAACUCCAGAAUUGAUAUUUGGGAAGGGGUUUUACUCAGCUGCUCAAUGACAGAGUAUUCUUUAGCUUUAACCUUUUUCCAAAUACUUUGAUCCUCGAGCUCUACGAUUGGCGCUUUGGAUUUGCUAGAGCUUCCCUGAACCAAAUUUUCAGAAGUGUAAAUUCUUCCAGAUCUGGUGACCCCUGUUGCAACAUCUGUCUCUUCCACAUUUGUUUCUCUUUUGUUGUAAUCCCAAGGUACAGCAUGUGUGUCACAUUGUAUUGGGGAGGAUGCCUUAUAGACAGCGAAUGGUGGUCUGGGUGCAGCAACUUCUACUUCAAAUGGGGCGAGUCCUUGCACUAUUAGUGGUGCCUGGGCAGUGGUAGGCAUGGCUUCCUCUGUUUCGACGGCCCAGAUAGAUUCUUCCCAAUCCCAGACAUCACCAGCUUCCACCAUGUUGACUUGAUGGUUAGGGAGAGGAUUAUUCGCAACAUUCGGUGUAGGAUCCUUCAGUUGGAUGGUUUUUGUAUCAAUCAACAUUUGAACCUUAUCCUUAAGGGCUCUGCAAACUUCGGUGGUGUGGCCCUUCAUCCCAGAAUGGUAGGCGCAGACCUUGUUAGGGUCGUACCAUUUCGCGCGAACGUCCACAGGUAAUGCAGGAAUUGGAGAGACGUACCCAGCUUGUUUCAGUCUCUCAUAAAGUUGUGCUAUGGGUUCAGCCAAAGGGGUAUAGGUUUUUGUAGGUCUGUUUCGGUAAUUUGGUGUUUGAGUGGGUGGUGGAGUUUGGAAGUGUGUUGGUUGAACAUUAUAGACAGGAUAUGAGGCAUGCAAAUAUUGAGGAGGAGCAUUUUGGUAAUAUAUUGGCAUGGGUUGGGGAGAUAUAGGGGGUGGAGCUGAGGGAUGUUGAGGGUAUGGGGUGUGAAGGUAUGGGGUGUGAGGGUAUGGGGAUGGUGGUGGGUUUGUUGUCUUGUGCCUCAAAGGGGUCCUAGUUCCAUGAGCCAUCAUUACAGAACCUGUUUUCUUUCGACUCUCUGUCAUUCCACCAGAUUGCAGAGCCUUGUUGGUUGCUUGUAAAGCCUCCAAGUUGAUGAUAGUCCCAUUCUUUAUGCCUUCUUCAAUUCUUUCGCCUAGUUUGAUGAUUUCAGCGAAACUCUUUUCAGCCACCAGCAUCAUUCGGUCAUAGUAUUGUGGUUCUUGGGCACGGAUGAAAUAGUCUUUCAUUUGAGAUUCUUCCAUAGGGGGUCUGGCCCUAGCCGCCUCAGACCUCCAUCUUAUGGCAUAUUCUCUGAAGGAUUCACUCGGUUUCUUCUUUAGGUUCUGAAUGUAAAACCAAUCAGGCGCAUUUUCAAUAUUGAAACCAAACCUAUUCAUGAAGUCAGUUGCCAUAUCAACCCAUUUUAUCCAUUUCCGCGAGUCUUGCUCAAUGUACCAUGAUAGGGCCUCCCCAGUAAGACUCCUCAUGAACAACUUCAUGAGUAUCCUCUCAUCUCUCCCCACCCCUACAAGUUUGUCGCAAUACAUUCGUAGGUGGGCUUUGGGAUCCCCAAUGCCAUUGAACGUCUCAAACUUCGGAAGCUUGUAUCCUUCGGGCAGUUCCACAUCAGGAUGCAUGCACAGAUCCUCAUAGCCCAAUCCUCCCAACCUUUUGUUUCCUUCCACGUGUUGUACCCUGUUGGUCAAGUUGUCUAAUCUCUCAGUCAGGGUUUUUAUUAAGAUGUCUUUCUGAUGGGACUCUGACUCAUGGAGGUCAUGAGUCAGAGGGGCAGUUUCAACGUAUAUGGGAUUGGGAUUGUUGUUCCCAAAAGUAUGUGGGAUAUUUGUGUUUGGGGUUGUUUCUGGGACAGUUGGUUUGGUAUGUUGGUAAUAGUGGUGAAAUGGAAAUUGGGUAUUUUGGGCGUGGGGUGGUGGAAAGGCAUUUGGACGAAUGGGUUCAGGUGGGGAUAUAUGGAUUGGAGGAUUGUCUGGCGUGGCUGUUUGAUUAGGAGGAUUGUCUAUGUUUUCUCCAAAUUGGGUUCCAAGAGAGAUAGACAACUUGGCCAAAUCACGCAUGUUGGCUACCUCUUCUUCCAAUUGCGAAAUCUUGCGCUCGAGUCUUAGGAUAAGAUUACUAUGAAGUUGUCCUCCCUCAGAAGCUUCUACCCUUUCAGUGGUGCUGUUGUCGUCAACCAUUUUUCCUUUGUCUUUUGAGCUUGCUCUUUGAGAAGAAGGAGAAGGGGGGUCCCUUUUGAUCGUGUAUGUGCCAGGAUGAAGGACAGAUCAACCUUAGGAAAUGGGAAAACAAUAGAAUCAAAAGAAAAGAGUUAGGGGUUAAGAUAAUAUCACAAUAUCAACACGUUGUUUUGAAAUAAACGCCCUAAAUGCAAGGAACCUCGUUGAGCCAGAGGUAGGCCUAAGCGACACAUAAGUGAUGCAUAAUAAUUAAUUCAAGCCUUAUUUGCCAAUUUGGAGUUUAGAGUUAGAUAAUAGAACAACUUUCGAUUAUUGAAAUAAUUUCUGUUUAUUACAUCAAUCUAAAGAUAACUAAAGGGCUAGGGAUAACAUAUGGGGAGUAAAGAGAAAUAAAUAAUAAUAAAAAACUUUAAUCAUGUUGCUCUCCAAUGUUAGGCACAAUCUGCUUCUUCAUUUCUAGGGUAAUGUCAUAAUCAGUGUUGAGGAGGUUGCGAGCCCAUCUUCUCUCUUUUUCAUCGCCAAAACCAGGAAGACCUCCUUCGCUUAAAUCUCUAUGCUCUGCAUCUUCUAAAAGCCAUACAUAAUAUUCAGGUGUGCAGAAGGGUCGGUGCUCUUGAACAUCGAUAGUUAUCACAUUCUUCCAUCUUCGCAGUAUGGUGUUCACUUGCGGUAAUUCUGACCCAAAGUCAUAUCCAUAGUGGCUCAUGUGGGAUCGUAGAGGUAUCAUUUGGAUCUGUCCGAAUUGUCGAAGGACUCGAAGUGGUGCGUAGGGUUGCACACCGUUCAAACCGAUAAGCUCAAUGAAGUAAAGUUCAUUUCCUCUUAUGAUGGCACGUCGUGGCUUCAACCAAUAAUACUUCCAUUGGAUUUCAACGGCUGACCGCUCCUUUAGGUAUGUGAACCAGUCCUCUGUUCCCACAGGGGAGAUAAAAUGUUUCAUCCUUAGGGGAUGGUUGACGAUGUCUACUUUAUUAGCUCUUUGGUAGAAAUGUUCGACGGCCCAAAGUUGCAGCAGAAAGUUGCACCCUUCAAAGUAUCUUUUGCCUUUGGUGCAUGCAGUCAAAGCUCUUAGAAUUUCUGCGAGUAUCAUAGGGACCAAGGUUUUCCCACCUCGAGCCAACAUACGAACCACAUAACAUAAGCCGGUGUGGAUCUUUCCUCCUUCUCUAGGAAAAACCAAUGAGCCUAAUAGGGCGACAGCGAAUGCAUUAAGACGAUACCUUUCCCAUUUUGCAGAAGAGCAAGCAAAUUCUCUAUGAAAGUUUUGAUGACCUUCCUCAUCCCCAAAGCGUGAAUAUAAGAACUCUAAAGAAAUCCAACCUUCUUUCAGACAAAGUAGAUUUGGAUUAUGACACAUGCCCAUUUGCUUCAGAAAAGAUCUUGGACUUGGCUUGUGUGGAACAAUCAUUUCCAACUCUUUGUAUGCGAGACCCAUGAAUCCUCCAACUUCUUCUAUUGUUGGAGUUAGCUCAAAAUCCCUGAACUUGAAGACUAACCUCUCAGUGUCCCAGAAUUUCAACAAUGCCUUGAUUAAGUGACGAUCUGACUCUACGGAGAUCAAAGCAGUGAGGCCGCCUAACAAUUCAUUUGCUUCUAACUCUCGAUUUUUUUGAAUAUCUUUCCACCAAGUCUUCAAAAUGGGAUUAACUUUGACCACCAUUUGCGUGUUUGGAAAGUGAGGGUGAGCCAUGACUCUGCAAACAAAGUAACAAACAACUUCUAAACUCCAUUUUGGCAAUGUUGGCUUGAUUUAAUUAUUAUGAUCACGUUGACACAUAAAUAUGCAAUUUGUCUAAGGGUGUUGGGGCCCUUCAGACGAGAAGGUGGCUACUAAUUACAUGGAUUGACACCAAGGGUCAAACCUCCUAGGGCUUAUGCAGCAUGUAUGACUUAACCAGGACUUCUAAGAGUUGGCUUGACACGGACUUGAAAGGGAUUCUAUGCGAGAGGCUCGUGGCUUCGCGGUAGUAAAACUAUCCACUACGUCCACACAUAUGCCGACUCUCUAUAAUGGGUAUUUGUAUAAGAUUGGAGUAGUUGUGAGAGGUGCAAAGGCACAACAUCACGAGAACAAAAUAAAAAAGGAAGAGGGUCCCAAUUGGGGGAAGUAUGAGCGGGAUGCCAAUUUAUUAAAGCAGUAAACAUUUAGCAUUUAAAUUGGAAAACGGUAACAUAUAGGCAGUUUAUAAACAAUAAAUAAAUAAGCAUAAAUAAAGGAAAGUAGACAUAUAAAGAUAUGAAAACUACGCAAAUAAAGCAAGAGGAUACGAGAUUAAACAUGUAAACAAAUAAGGGGAGAGGGAAGAGGUGAAACAUGAUAAUAAACAAUUAAGGAAAAGGGAAAGGGAGGAACAUGAAGAUGAGAUAAUAAAUAGGGCAACAAAACAUGGUAAGCACCUAAUGAAUAAAAUAAAACCCACAUAAAUAAGCAGUUAACACGUAAUGGUAAGAACCUAACAUCCCCAGCGGAGUCGCCAUUCUGUCGCGCCCCAUUUCGCGGAAAACGGGUUUUGUGCACGACCUAACAACUCUUUUGGGAUUUUUGAGUUUUGGAGUCGCCACCUAACGAAUUAAGGCGCGUUAGGGUGCCUAUCUAACCUAACUAAGUCUAACUAAGGUCAACGGGCCAGAGAUUAGGGUAAGGGUUCAAAUUACCUCGAGGGGAAGGUGUUAGGCAUCCCUCGAGGUCCACAAGUGUGGGUCCCGGCCGUAUCUCAUGCAAUCUAUGUGGGGGUACAAAUAGCAAUCAAGGUCGUUUAUUAAUUUAUUUAAUCUUACUAAGUGAUAACAAAUACGAAACAAUUAAGACUAUUAUUCUUAUUUAGAUAUGUAAAGCUAGGUGAUGGCAAUAAAUAAACAAUUAGGCUCAUUUUAUUUAUUUUGACAUACGACACUAUGUUAUAAACAAAAUUGGCAAAUAUUAAGCAAUUAAUAUGUACGAAAAUAAAGUUUGAAAAUUGAUAAGUUUUGAAUAGGAAUUUUUAUUUUAAAAAAUGUUUGUUUCUUUAUAGGGAUGAUUCCACGAUAUUAUUGAUCGUGCUCCUCCACCAUAGAAACAAUUUUGAUUUGAGGUCGGUCUAAAAAUAGUUAUGUUUUGAAAAAUGAUUUAAAAUAUUUAGUUCACACGUAGGCACAUAAACAAUUACAUAUAAAUGCACAUAAUUCUUUUUGAAAUUCAUGGGAAGUGGUACUUCCGGGGACGCAUCGGUUUUAAAAAAUUGGAACUAGACCUCGUAGUUCCUUUGACUUUCCCACUAACGAUAGGUUAGGAGAUAGUACUUUAUAAUUUAUUUCAAAAUAAAGUAGAGUCAUAAUCAAUCCAAAAUUUAAAGAAAGAUUGAAUAAUGACUUUUUUAAAAAAUUUAUGUUACAAGGUUUUGAAAUGUUUUUUAAAGCCAAGUUAAAUGCAUGAAAUGAUUCUAAGUUAGUAUUAAGAAAAAAAAAAUAUUGCAUCACGAAUGUGGAAAACAAAUGGGAUUACUAGUUAAAUAAUAUUAAUUAAUUUUAGGGGAGGACUCAAAUAUGCACAAACAAAUUUUAUUCUCUUAUUUACAAACCUAUAGACAUGAUUUCUAGGUGUUCAAAAAAGUAACAUAUAUAUGCAUGAUUUCGUAAAUGGUAUGAACAAAUUAAACCUUAGACAUGGUUUCUACAUGAUAAGACAAAUGAGAAUUUAUAAUAUUUUAACAUCUAACAACCUACUAGAUUUAUUAGGAUUUGAUUUUAACAUUUAAAAAUUAAUGGAUUCUAGUUCUUAUUUUUUAAGGCUUGUUAACAAAAACGUCAAGCAAAUUGAAAAUUGAUUAGAUUAUAACACCUACAAAUAUCAAAUCUAGAUGGUUAAAGACAAACCUAUAGGCAUGAUUUCUAAAAAAAAAAAUAAUGAGCAAGUAAGCAUAUAAAUCCCCCUCCCCUAGACGACCCCCAAAUAA
Molecule: long non-coding RNA, 17370 nt
Filed under: Solanum lycopersicum (tomato)
Lineage: Eukaryota; Viridiplantae; Streptophyta; Magnoliopsida; Solanales; Solanaceae
Description: long non-coding RNA (SLYC_LNC001136)
Source: RNAcentral